RNAcentral lists this transfer RNA (79 nucleotides) under Caldifarciminota bacterium SM1_77. RNAcentral's name for it is "tRNA-Gly". Lineage: Bacteria; Pseudomonadati; Caldifarciminota. The record is from RNAcentral.
GCGGGUCAACAAGCGCAAGGGGCGCGCAGCAGCCUUCCAAGCUGACGACCGCGGAGUUCGACUCUCCUGAUCCGCUCCA